GGAGAGGUCGCAUAAUCCGGUAUUGCACCGGUCUCGAAAACCGGCGGGGCGCAAGCCCCUUGAGAGUUCAAAUCUCUCCCUCUCCG
This 86-nucleotide transfer RNA is filed under the name Candidatus Omnitrophota bacterium. RNAcentral's name for it is "Candidatus Omnitrophica bacterium tRNA-Ser". It matches the Rfam family "tRNA". From Rfam's summary of the family: Transfer RNA (tRNA) molecules are approximately 80 nucleotides in length. Their secondary structure includes four short double-helical elements and three loops (D, anti-codon, and T loops). Further hydrogen bonds mediate the characteristic L-shaped molecular structure. tRNAs have two regions of fundamental functional importance: the anti-codon, which is responsible for specific mRNA codon recognition, and the 3' end, to which the tRNAs corresponding amino acid is attached (by aminoacyl-tRNA synthetases). tRNAs cope with the degeneracy of the genetic code in two manners: having more than one tRNA (with a specific anti-codon) for a particular amino acid; and 'wobble' base-pairing, i.e. permitting non-standard base-pairing at the 3rd anti-codon position. The record is from RNAcentral. Lineage: Bacteria; Pseudomonadati; Candidatus Omnitrophota.